This is a long non-coding RNA of Chelonia mydas (Green sea turtle), 231 nucleotides long. RefSeq lists it as uncharacterized. The transcript has 3 exons. NCBI's taxonomy places the organism in Eukaryota, Metazoa, Chordata, Testudines, Cheloniidae. The record is from RefSeq and is a predicted model, not a curated record.
UUUUGGGGGAAGACGUCUCCAAGUGGGCUCUUUCCCUGGUCUUUGUGUAAGAUGCUUGGUGGUGGCAGCAUAUAGUUCAAGGACAAGGCAAAGUUUGUACCUUGGGGAAGUUUUUAACCUAAAAUGGUAAGAAUAAGAUUAGGGGGUCUAUCACCCAGGUCCCCACAUCUGUACCCUAGAGUUCAGAGUGAGGAAGGAACCUUGACAACUUAACAGUGGGGAAGGAACCUU